UUGCUUCAGCAGCAUAAAUACUAACUUUGGAACAAUACAGAGAAGACGAGCACAGCCCCUGUACAUGGAUGAAAUGCAAAUUCAUGAAGUGUUCCAUAUUUUA
This 103-nucleotide small nuclear RNA is filed under the name Sciurus vulgaris (Eurasian red squirrel). Lineage: Eukaryota; Metazoa; Chordata; Mammalia; Rodentia; Sciuridae. The record is from RNAcentral.